RNAcentral lists this ribosomal RNA (519 nucleotides) under uncultured bacterium. RNAcentral's name for it is "bacterial SSU rRNA". It matches the Rfam family "Bacterial small subunit ribosomal RNA", at positions 32 to 524 of the family's 1533-position model. The record is from RNAcentral.
AACGCUGGCGGCGUGCUUUAUACAUGCAAGUCGAACGAGGACCGGGUGCUUGCACCUGGAGCCGAGUGGCGAACGGGUGAGUAACACGUGACCAAUCUGCCCUUGGGAGAGGGACAACCUGGGGAAACCCGGGCUAAUACCGCAUGAUGUGCAGCCAUCGCAUGGUGGCGGCACCAAAGGGGGGCCUCUACUUGUAAGCUCUCGCCCAUGGAGGAGGUCGCGGCGUAUCAGCUUGUUGGUGGGGUAACGGCUCACCAAGGCGACGACGCGUAGCGGGUCUGAGAGGACGAUCCGUCACAUUGGGACUGAGAUACGGCCCAGACUCCUACGGGAGGCAGCAGUAGGGAAUAUUGCGCAAUGGUCGAAAGACUGACGCAGCGACGCCGCGUGCGGGAGGAAGCCUUUCGGGGUGUAAACCACUGUCAGAUGGGAAGAAACACGCACUUCCAAACAGGACGUGCGCAUGACGGUACCAUCAGAGGAAGCGCCGGCUAACUCCGUGCCAGCAGCCGCGGUAAG